RNAcentral lists this ribosomal RNA (772 nucleotides) under Cadophora luteo-olivacea. RNAcentral's name for it is "partial large subunit ribosomal RNA". It matches the Rfam family "Eukaryotic large subunit ribosomal RNA", at positions 69 to 858 of the family's 3401-position model. The record is from RNAcentral. Lineage: Eukaryota; Fungi; Ascomycota; Leotiomycetes; Helotiales; Ploettnerulaceae.
CAGGGAUUACCUCAGUAACGGCGAGUGAAGCGGUAACAGCUCAAAUUUGAAAGCUAGCUCUUUUAGGGUUCGCAUUGUAAUUUGUAGAAGAUGCUUCGGGUGUGGCCCCGGUCUAAGUUCCUUGGAACAGGACGUCAUAGAGGGUGAGAAUCCCGUAUGUGACUGGGUGCUUUCGCUCAUGUGAAGCUCUUUCGACGAGUCGAGUUGUUUGGGAAUGCAGCUCAAAAUGGGUGGUAAAUUUCAUCUAAAGCUAAAUAUUGGCCAGAGACCGAUAGCGCACAAGUAGAGUGAUCGAAAGAUGAAAAGCACUUUGGAAAGAGAGUUAAACAGUACGUGAAAUUGUUGAAAGGGAAGCGCUUGCAACCAGACUUGCGCGCUGAUGAUCAUCCGGGCUUCUGCCCGUGACUCGUCUGCGCUCAGGCCAGCAUCGGUUUCGGUGGUGGGAUAAAGGCCUUGGGAAUGUAGCUCCUCUCGGGGAGUGUUAUAGCCCUCGGUGCAAUGCCGCCUACCGGGACCGAGGACCGCGCUUCGGCUAGGAUGCUGGCGUAAUGGUUGUAAGCGACCCGUCUUGAAACACGGACCAAGGAGUCUAACAUCUAUGCGAGUGUUUGGGUGUCAAACCCAUACGCGUAAUGAAAGUGAACGGAGGUGAGAACCCUUAAGGGUGCAUCAUCGACCGAUCCUGAUGUCUUCGGAUGGAUUUGAGUAAGGAGCAUAGCUGUUGGGACCCGAAAGAUGGUGAACUAUGCGUGAAUAGGGUGAAAGCCAGAGG